RNAcentral lists this ribosomal RNA (877 nucleotides) under uncultured bacterium. RNAcentral's name for it is "bacterial SSU rRNA". It matches the Rfam family "Bacterial small subunit ribosomal RNA", at positions 9 to 867 of the family's 1533-position model. The record is from RNAcentral.
GAGUUUGAUCCUGGCUCAGGACGAACGCUGGCGGCGUGCCUAAUACAUGCAAGUCGAGCGGACCGAAAAGAAGCUUGCUUCGAUUCGGUUAGCGGCGGACGGGUGAGUAACACGUGGGCAACCUGCCCUGUAGACGGGGAUAACACCGAGAAAUCGGUGCUAAUACCGGAUAACACGAAAUGUCGCAUGACAUUUCGUUGAAAGGCGGCGCAAGCUGUCGCUACAGGAUGGGCCCGCGGCGCAUUAGCUAGUUGGUGAGGUAACGGCUCACCGAGGCGACGAUGCGUAGCCGACCUGAGAGGGUGAUCGGCCACACUGGGACUGAGACACGGCCCAGACUCCUACGGGAGGCAGCAGUAGGGAAUCUUCCGCAAUGGACGAAAGUCUGACGGAGCAACGCCGCGUGAGCGAAGAAGGUCUUCGGAUUGUAAAGCUCUGUUGUUAGGAAGAACAAGUACCGCAGUAACUGGCGGUACCUUGACGGUACCUAACGAGAAAGCCACGGCUAACUACGUGCCAGCAGCCGCGGUAAUACGUAGGUGGCAAGCGUUGUCCGGAAUUAUUGGGCGUAAAGCGCGCGCAGGCGGUCCUUUAAGUCUGAUGUGAAAGCCCACGGCUCAACCGUGGAGGGUCAUUGGAAACUGGGGGACUUGAGUGCAGAAGAGGAGAGCGGAAUUCCACGUGUAGCGGUGAAAUGCGUAGAGAUGUGGAGGAACACCAGUGGCGAAGGCGGCUCUCUGGUCUGUAACUGACGCUGAGGCGCGAAAGCGUGGGGAGCAAACAGGAUUAGACACCCUGGUAGUCCACGCCGUAAACGAUGAGUGCUAAGUGUUAGAGGGGUUACACCCUUUAGUGCUGUAGCUAACGCAUUAAGCAC